UCCUACGGGAGGCAGCAGUGGGGAAUAUUGCGCAAUGGGGGGAACCCUGACGCAGCCAUGCCGCGUGAAUGAAGAAGGCCUUCGGGUUGUAAAGUUCUUUCGGUAAUGAGGAAGGGAUGUUGUUAAAUAGAUAGCAUCAUUGACGUUAAUUACAGAAGAAGCACCGGCUAACUCCGUGCCAGCAGCCGCGGUAAUACGGAGGGUGCGAGCGUUAAUCGGAAUAACUGGGCGUAAAGGGCACGCAGGCGGACUUUUAAGUGAGAUGUGAAAUCCCCGAGCUUAACUUGGGAACUGCAUUUCAGACUGGGAGUCUAGAGUACUUUAGGGAGGGGUAGAAUUCCACGCGUAGCGGUGAAAUGCGCAGAGAUGUGGAGGAAUACCGAAGGCGAAGGCAGCCCCUUGGGAAUGUACUGACGCUCAUGUGCGAAAGCGUGGGGAGCAAACAGGAUUAGAUACCCUGGUAGUCC
Molecule: ribosomal RNA, 467 nt
Filed under: uncultured bacterium
Lineage: Bacteria
Description: bacterial SSU rRNA
Rfam family: Bacterial small subunit ribosomal RNA
Source: RNAcentral